Choloepus hoffmanni (Hoffmann's two-fingered sloth) is the source of this 62-nucleotide small nuclear RNA. Its record names the gene U7. It matches the Rfam family "U7 small nuclear RNA". Rfam says of the family: Animal histone pre-mRNAs are spliced by a different mechanism than nuclear pre-mRNAs and self-splicing introns. This processing involves the U7 snRNP, which contains only one RNA species: U7. The record is from Ensembl. Lineage: Eukaryota; Metazoa; Chordata; Mammalia; Pilosa; Megalonychidae.
GAGUGUUACAGCUCUUUUAGAAUUUGUCUAGCAGGUUUUCUGGCUUCAGCUGGAAAACCCUA